AUAUAAUUAACAAUAAGAUAAUUAAGGUAGUAUUAGGUUAUAUACUUAAAAUCUAAAGAAUUUGACGGUAUUUUAAUAAAAUCAGAGGAACUUGUCAUUUAAUUCGAUAAUCCACGAUAGAAUAUACCUUGUUUUAACUUGUAUACCUCCGUUUUAAUGAGAAUUUUAUAAGAAUAUUUUUUUAAAAUAAUUUAGUAAUAUAAUAAUUCAGGUCAAGGUGUAGUGAAUAGCAGGGGAGAAAGAUGAGUUACAAUAAAAAAAAAUAGUUGUGAAUUUGAUUAUGAGAUUUAAUUAAUGAAAAUGGAUUUGAAGGUAAGAUAAGUUAAUUAACUUAUCUGAUUAAAAUACUAAAAUAUGU
RNAcentral lists this ribosomal RNA (358 nucleotides) under Orussus abietinus. RNAcentral's name for it is "partial 12S ribosomal RNA". Lineage: Eukaryota; Metazoa; Arthropoda; Insecta; Hymenoptera; Orussidae. The record is from RNAcentral.